UGGGGAAUAUUGGACAAUGGGCGAAAGCCUGAUCCAGCCAUGCCGCGUGUGUGAAGAAGGUCUUCGGAUUGUAAAGCACUUUAAGUUGGGAGGAAGGGCAGUAAGCGAAUACCUUGCUGUUUUGACGUUACCGACAGAAUAAGCACCGGCUAACUCUGUGCCAGCAGCCGCGGUAAUACAGAGGGUGCAAGCGUUAAUCGGAAUUACUGGGCGUAAAGCGCGCGUAGGUGGUUCGUUAAGUUGGAUGUGAAAUCCCCGGGCUCAACCUGGGAACUGCAUCCAAAACUGGCGAGCUAGAGUAGGGCAGAGGGUGGUGGAAUUUCCUGUGUAGCGGUGAAAUGCGUAGAUAUAGGAAGGAACACCAGUGGCGAAGGCGACCACCUGGGCUCAUACUGACACUGAGGUGCGAAAGCGUGGGGAGCAAACAGG
RNAcentral lists this ribosomal RNA (429 nucleotides) under Bacillota bacterium. RNAcentral's name for it is "Firmicutes bacterium partial 16S ribosomal RNA". It matches the Rfam family "Bacterial small subunit ribosomal RNA", at positions 355 to 776 of the family's 1533-position model. RNAcentral also lists the same sequence under 1 other name. The record is from RNAcentral. Lineage: Bacteria; Bacillati; Bacillota.